GAAUACAACGCUGGCGGCGUGCCUCAGACAUGCAAGUCGAACGAGAAAGUUUCCUUCGGGAGACGAGUACAGUGGCGUCCGGGUGAGUAACACGUGGGUAAUUUACCUUUGGGUGGGGAAUAGCAGCCGGAAACGGCUAUUAAUACCGCAUAAUGCAGCGGCUCGACAUCGAGACAGUUGUUAAAGCGGGGAUCUGACAAGGACCUCGCGCCUAAAGAGAAGCCUGCGCCAGAUUAGCUAGUUGGUAGGGUAAUGGCCUACCAAGGCUGUGAUCUGUAGCCGGCCUGAGA
RNAcentral lists this ribosomal RNA (290 nucleotides) under uncultured bacterium. RNAcentral's name for it is "partial 16S ribosomal RNA". It matches the Rfam family "Bacterial small subunit ribosomal RNA", at positions 32 to 297 of the family's 1533-position model. The record is from RNAcentral.